Camelus dromedarius (Arabian camel) is the source of this 569-nucleotide long non-coding RNA. RefSeq lists it as uncharacterized. The record is from RefSeq and is a predicted model, not a curated record. Lineage: Eukaryota; Metazoa; Chordata; Mammalia; Artiodactyla; Camelidae. The transcript has 4 exons.
CUUGUCUGUCCAUCAGGAUUCUCUGCUCACAGCUUCCAGAAACUCUGGCUAACGCUAGCACCACAGAAUCCACAGGAGCUACCGGAAGGACCUGGACCAGCCUCUGUCAUGAGGGAAGGAUAGCUAGAUGGCCAUAAGCAGUGAAUUAAAAAAAAAAAAACAAAACCUUCAAACUCCAUAAUUGGAAGAUAUUGAAAAUUCUUCAUACCAGCGGUCUGAAAUCAGGGAAAGGACUGGGAGGCCCUCCCUGAGUGUGGCCUGGCAGGGGGCCCUGUCACGGAUUCUGCAUGGGUAACGCUGGCCGUGGAGAAGUUUUGGAAGGGGAAACCAAAAAGCUUUGGAUCUUUUCCUGAAUUUUUUUGAUGUGCUUCUAAAGCAAGAAAAACCAUCUGUAAAAAGACCAGGAUAGGUGGACAGCAGAACAGUGUGGUCCUGCAGAAGCUGAAGCCUGACACUCCUUACACCAUCACCCUGUCCUCCCUGUAUCCUGAUGCAGAAGGAGGUUGGAUGACAGGAAGAGAACCUUUGAAUACAGUGAGGAACCUCAGUGUAUGACCCUUCCACCAGCA